CCUACGGGCGGCAGCAGUGGGGAAUAUUGGACAAUGGGCGCAAGCCUGAUCCAGCCAUGCCGCGUGAGUGAUGAAGGCCUUAGGGUUGUAAAGCUCUUUUGUCCGGGAAGAUAAUGACUGUACCGGAAGAAUAAGCCCCGGCUAACUUCGUGCCAGCAGCCGCGGUAAUACGAAGGGGGCUAGCGUUGUUCGGAAUCACUGGGCGUAAAGCGCACGUAGGCGGACCAUUAAGUCAGGGGUGAAAGCCUGGAGCUCAACUCCAGAACUGCCUUUGAUACUGAUGGUCUCGAGUUCGGAAGAGGUUGGUGGAACUGCGAGUGUAGAGGUGAAAUUCGUAGAUAUUCGCAAGAACACCAGUGGCGAAGGCGGCCAACUGGUCCGAUACUGACGCUGAGGUGCGAAAGCGUGGGGAGCAAACAGGAUUAGAUACCCUAGUAGUC
This 440-nucleotide ribosomal RNA is filed under the name uncultured bacterium. RNAcentral's name for it is "bacterial SSU rRNA". It matches the Rfam family "Bacterial small subunit ribosomal RNA", at positions 338 to 795 of the family's 1533-position model. The record is from RNAcentral.